This 253-nucleotide ribosomal RNA is filed under the name uncultured bacterium. Its description in RNAcentral is "partial 16S ribosomal RNA". It matches the Rfam family "Bacterial small subunit ribosomal RNA", at positions 524 to 776 of the family's 1533-position model. The record is from RNAcentral.
UACGUAGGCAGCAAGCGUUGUUCGGAGUUACUGGGCGUAAAGGGUGUGUAGGCGGUUCACUAAGUUCGGUGUGAAAUCUCCCGGCUUAACUGGGAGGGUGCAUUGAAAACUGGUGGGCUUGAGUAUGGGAGAGGUAAGCGGAAUUCCUGGUGUAGCGGUGAAAUGCGUAGAUAUCAGGAGGAACACCUGUGGUGUAGACAGCUUACUGGACCAUCACUGACGCUGAAACACGAAAGCGUGGGUAGCAAACAGG